Molecule: transfer RNA, 74 nt
Filed under: Nitrososphaerota archaeon
Lineage: Archaea; Thermoproteati; Nitrososphaerota
Description: tRNA-Lys
Rfam family: tRNA
About the family: Transfer RNA (tRNA) molecules are approximately 80 nucleotides in length. Their secondary structure includes four short double-helical elements and three loops (D, anti-codon, and T loops). Further hydrogen bonds mediate the characteristic L-shaped molecular structure. tRNAs have two regions of fundamental functional importance: the anti-codon, which is responsible for specific mRNA codon recognition, and the 3' end, to which the tRNAs corresponding amino acid is attached (by aminoacyl-tRNA synthetases). tRNAs cope with the degeneracy of the genetic code in two manners: having more than one tRNA (with a specific anti-codon) for a particular amino acid; and 'wobble' base-pairing, i.e. permitting non-standard base-pairing at the 3rd anti-codon position.
Source: RNAcentral
GGGCCUGUAGCUCAGCCAGGUAGAGCAGUCGGCUCUUAACCGACUGGUCAUGGGUUCGAAUCCCACCAGGCCCG